Molecule: transfer RNA, 68 nt
Filed under: Bulbitermes makhamensis
Lineage: Eukaryota; Metazoa; Arthropoda; Insecta; Blattodea; Termitidae
Description: tRNA-Met
Source: RNAcentral
AGAAAAGUAAGCUAAAUAAAGCUAAUGGGUUCAUACCCCAUAAAUAGAGUAAGCAACUCUCUUCUCUG